RNAcentral lists this ribosomal RNA (253 nucleotides) under uncultured bacterium. Its description in RNAcentral is "partial 16S ribosomal RNA". It matches the Rfam family "Bacterial small subunit ribosomal RNA", at positions 524 to 776 of the family's 1533-position model. The record is from RNAcentral.
UACGUAGGGGCCGAGCGUUGUCCGGAGUUACUGGGCGUAAAGCGCGCGCAGGCGGCUCGUCAAGCCUGACGUGAAAGCCCCCGGCUCAACCGGGGAGGGUCGUCGGGGACUGGCGAGCUUGAGGUCGGCAGGGGUUGGUGGAAUUCCCGGUGUAGUGGUGAAAUGCGUAGAGAUCGGGAGGAACACCAGUGGCGAAGGCGGCUCGCUGGGCCGGACCUGACGCUGAGACGCGAAGGCGUGGGGAGCGAACGGG